CAUGCAAGCCGAGCGGUAGAAGUCCUUCGGGACUUUGAGAGCGGCGUACGGGUGCGUAACACGUGUGCAACCUACCUUUAUCAGGGGAAUAGCCUUUCCAAAGGAAGAUUAAUACCCCAUAAUAUAUUGAAUGGCAUCAUUUAAUAUUGAAAACUCCGGUGGAUAGAGAUGGGCACGCGCAAGAUUANAUAGUUGGUGAGGUAACGGCUCACCAAGUCAAUGAUCUUUAGGGGUCCUGAGAGGGAGAUCCCCCACACUGGUACUGAGACACGGACCAGACUCCUACGGGAGGCAGCAGUGAGGAAUAUUGGACAAUGGGUGAGAGCCUGAUCCAGCCAUCCCGCGUGAAGGAUGACGGUCCUAUGGAUUGUAAACUUCUUUUGUAUAGGGAUAAACCUACUCUCGUGAGAGUAGCUGAAGGUACUAUACGAAUAAGCACCGGCUAACUCCGUGCCAGCAGCCGCGGUAAUACGGAGGGUGCAAGCGUUAUCCGGAGUUAUUGGGUUUAAAGGGUCCGUAGGCGGGCCGAUNANUCAGNGGUGAANUCUCAUAUCUUAACUAUGACACCGCCGCUGANACUGACGGUCUUGAGUAAAUUUGAAAUGGCUGGGAUNAGUAGUGNAGCGGNGAANUGCAUNUAUAUUACNUAGAACACCAGUUGCGAAGGAACGUCACUGAGGCCCGCACAAGCGUUGNUUAUGNNAGUUANUUNGAUGNUACNCGAGGAUCCUUACCAANUCUCAAAAGGGAAAUGACAGGGUUAGAAAUNGGCNUUUANAGGGACAUUUUCCAAGGUGUUGCAUGGUUGUCGUCAGCUCGUNCCGUGAGGUGNUAGGCUAAGUCAUGCAACGAGCGCAACCCCUGUCACUACUUGUUAACAUUUAGUUGAGGACUCUAGUGAGACUCCCUACGCAAGUAGAGAGGAAGGUGGGGANGACGUCAAAUCAUCACGGCCCUUACGUCCUGGGCCACACACGUAAUACAAUGGCCGGUACAGAGGGCAGCUACCUAGCGAUAGGAUGCAAAUCUCGAAAGCCGGUCUCAGUUCGGAUUGGAGUUUGCAACUCGACUCUAUGAAGCUGGAAUCGCUAGUAAUCGCGCAUCAGCCAUGGCGCGGUGAAUACGUUCCCGGGCCUUGUACACACCGCCCGUCAAGCCAUGGAAGUUUGGGGUACCUGAAGUCGGUGACCGUAANAAGGAGCUGCCUAG
This 1209-nucleotide ribosomal RNA is filed under the name bacterium BEL B19. Its description in RNAcentral is "partial 16S ribosomal RNA". It matches the Rfam family "Bacterial small subunit ribosomal RNA". The record is from RNAcentral.